GGAAUAAUACCCUAUUAUUAAAUAGGAUUAGGUUGAAUUAGUAUGAAAGAAAUUUAAAAGGUUUGGUGGUUAUCUAGUUAUUAGAGGAGCUUGUUUUUAGAAGAAUUUACUCUUUAUAUUUAAAAUAAAAUGUGCUUAUACAUCUCCGUUAUUAGGUAUUAAUUAAUUAAAUUUAUUUUAAUAUUUCAGGUCAAGAUGUAGCUAAAUUAAGAUAGAAUUAGCUAUAAUUUUAAAAAGAAUUUUAAAUUAGGAGAAUUUUAUAAAUAAGAUUGAAUUUAAUUGUAAUUUUAUCUAGAAAGAUAAAGUAAGAAGAUUAAAUAAUGUACAUAUC
Molecule: ribosomal RNA, 331 nt
Filed under: Tricommatinae sp. MZSP 73198
Lineage: Eukaryota; Metazoa; Arthropoda; Arachnida; Opiliones; Gonyleptidae
Description: partial small subunit ribosomal RNA
Source: RNAcentral